RNAcentral lists this transfer RNA (72 nucleotides) under Marmota monax (woodchuck). It matches the Rfam family "tRNA". From Rfam's summary of the family: Transfer RNA (tRNA) molecules are approximately 80 nucleotides in length. Their secondary structure includes four short double-helical elements and three loops (D, anti-codon, and T loops). Lineage: Eukaryota; Metazoa; Chordata; Mammalia; Rodentia; Sciuridae. The record is from Rfam by way of RNAcentral.
GGGAGUGUAGCUCAAUGGUAGAGGACUUGCCUAGCAUGCAAGAGGCCCUGAGCUCAAGCCCCAGCACUGCAA